GACGAACGCUGGCGGCGCGCCUAACACAUGCAAGUCGAACGAGCGAGAGAGAGCUUGCUUUCUCGAGCGAGUGGCGAACGGGUGAGUAACGCGUGAGGAACCUGCCUCAAAGAGGGGGACAACAGUUGGAAACGACUGCUAAUACCGCAUAAGCCCACGGUGCCGCAUGGCACAGAGGGAAAAGGAGCAAUCCGCUUUGAGAUGGCCUCGCGUCCGAUUAGCUAGUUGGUGAGGUAAUGGCCCACCAAGGCGACGAUCGGUAGCCGGACUGAGAGGUUGAACGGCCACAUUGGGACUGAGACACGGCCCAGACUCCUACGGGAGGCAGCAGUGGGGAAUAUCGCACAAUGGGGGAAACCCUGAUGCAGCGACGCCGCGUGGAGGAAGAAGGUCUUCGGAUUGUAAACUCCUGUUGUUGGGGAGGAUAAUGACGGUACCCAACAAGGAAGUGACGGCUAACUACGUG
Molecule: ribosomal RNA, 466 nt
Filed under: uncultured bacterium
Lineage: Bacteria
Description: partial 16S ribosomal RNA
Rfam family: Bacterial small subunit ribosomal RNA
Source: RNAcentral